This 477-nucleotide ribosomal RNA is filed under the name Tenacibaculum sp. 12-42. Its description in RNAcentral is "bacterial SSU rRNA". It matches the Rfam family "Bacterial small subunit ribosomal RNA", at positions 35 to 504 of the family's 1533-position model. The record is from RNAcentral. Lineage: Bacteria; Pseudomonadati; Bacteroidota; Flavobacteriia; Flavobacteriales; Flavobacteriaceae.
GCUAGCGGCAGGCUUACACAUGCAAGUCGAGGGGUAACAGGGAAAAGCUUGCUUUUUUGCUGACGACCGGCGAACGGGUGCGUAACGCGUAUAGAAUCUGCCUUGUACAGGAGGAUAGCCUUUAGAAAUGAAGAUUAAUACUCCAUAAUGUUGAGAGAUGGCAUCAUCUUUUAAUUAAAGAUUUAUCGGUACAAGAUGACUAUGCGUCCUAUUAGCUAGAUGGUAAGGUAACGGCUUACCAUGGCAACGAUAGGUAGGGGGUCUGAGAGGAUUAUCCCCCACACUGGUACUGAGACACGGACCAGACUCCUACGGGAGGCAGCAGUGAGGAAUAUUGGUCAAUGGAGGCAACUCUGAACCAGCCAUGCCGCGUGCUAGGAAGACUGCCCUAUGGGUUGUAAACUGCUUUUAUACAGGAAGAAACUUAGUUACGUGUAACUAACUGACGGUACUGUAAGAUAAGCACCGGCUAACUCC